This is a microRNA precursor of Oreochromis aureus, 60 nucleotides long. NCBI's taxonomy places the organism in Eukaryota, Metazoa, Chordata, Actinopteri, Cichliformes, Cichlidae. The record is from Ensembl.
CUGCGCAGCCUGUGUGUUCACCAAUCCUCUGGAGGUGGUGAAAACACGUCUGCAGCUACA